UACGAAGGGGGCUAGCGUUGUUCGGAUUUACUGGGCGUAAAGCGCACGUAGGCGGAUUGUUAAGUCAGGGGUGAAAUCCUGGAGCUCAACUCCAGAACUGCCUUUGAUACUGGCAAUCUUGAGUCCGGAAGAGGUGAGUGGAACUCCUAGUGUAGAGGUGGAAUUCGUAGAUAUUAGGAAGAACACCAGUGGCGAAGGCGGCUCACUGGUCCGGUACUGACGCUGAGGUGCGAAAGCGUGGGUAGCAAACAGG
This 253-nucleotide ribosomal RNA is filed under the name uncultured bacterium. RNAcentral describes it as "partial 16S ribosomal RNA". It matches the Rfam family "Bacterial small subunit ribosomal RNA", at positions 524 to 776 of the family's 1533-position model. The record is from RNAcentral.